RNAcentral lists this transfer RNA (75 nucleotides) under Candidatus Woesearchaeota archaeon. RNAcentral's name for it is "tRNA-Glu". It matches the Rfam family "tRNA". From Rfam's summary of the family: Transfer RNA (tRNA) molecules are approximately 80 nucleotides in length. Their secondary structure includes four short double-helical elements and three loops (D, anti-codon, and T loops). Lineage: Archaea; Nanobdellati; Candidatus Woesearchaeota. The record is from RNAcentral.
GCCCCGAUAGUGUAGUUCGGUCAAUCAUUCCGGCUUUUCGAGCCGGGGACCUGGGUUCGAAUCCCAGUCGGGGCG